AGUGAACGCUGGCGGCAGGCCUAAUACAUGCAAGUCGAACGGCAGCACAGCAGAGCUUGCUCUGUGGGUGGCGAGUGGCGGACGGGUGAGGAAUACAUGGGAAUCUGCCCAGUCGUGGGGGAUAACGUAUGGAAACGUACGCUAAUACCGCAUGCGCCCUUUGGGGGAAAGCCGGGGACCUUCGGGCCUGGCGCGAUUGGAUGAGCCCAUGUUCGAUUAGCUAGUUGGCGGGGUAAAGGCCCACCAAGGCGACGAUCGAUAGCUGGUCUGAGAGGAUGAUAAGCCACACUGGGACUGAGACACGGCCCAGACUCCUACGGGAGGCAGCAGUAGGGAAUAUUGGACAAUGGGCGCAAGCCUGAUCCAGCCAUGCCGCGUGAGUGAAGAAGGCCCUCGGGUUGUAAAGCUCUUUUGUCCGGAAAGAAAAGCAUUCGGUUAAUACCCGGGUGUUCUGACGGUACCGGAAGAAUAAGCACCGGCUAACUUCGUG
This 490-nucleotide ribosomal RNA is filed under the name uncultured bacterium. RNAcentral's name for it is "partial 16S ribosomal RNA". It matches the Rfam family "Bacterial small subunit ribosomal RNA", at positions 29 to 507 of the family's 1533-position model. The record is from RNAcentral.